RNAcentral lists this ribosomal RNA (869 nucleotides) under uncultured bacterium. RNAcentral describes it as "bacterial SSU rRNA". It matches the Rfam family "Bacterial small subunit ribosomal RNA", at positions 28 to 896 of the family's 1533-position model. The record is from RNAcentral.
AUUGAACGCUGGCGGCAUGCUUUACACAUGCAAGUCGAACGGCAGCACGGGAGCAAUCCUGGUGGCGAGUGGCGAACGGGUGAGUAAUAUAUCGGAACGUGCCUUAUAGUGGGGGAUAACGCAGCGAAAGUUGCGGUAAUACCGCAUACGCCCUGAGGGGGAAAGCGGGGGAUCGAAAGACCUCGCGCUACUAGAGCGGCCGAUAUCUGAUUAGCUAGUUGGUGAGGUAAAGGCUCACCAAGGCUUCGAUCAGUAGCUGGUCUGAGAGGACGAUCAGCCACACUGGGGCUGAGACACGGCCCAGACUCCUACGGGAGGCAGCAGUGGGGAAUUUUGGACAAUGGGGGCAACCCUGAUCCAGCAAUGCCGCGUGAGUGAAGAAGGCCUUCGGGUUGUAAAGCUCUUUUGUCAGGGAAGAAACAGCAGCUCUAACACAGCUGUGAAUGACGGUACCUGAAGAAUAAGCACCGGCUAACUACGUGCCAGCAGCCGCGGUAAUACGUAGGGUGCAAGCGUUAAUCGGAAUUACUGGGCGUAAAGCGUGCGCAGGCGGUUAUACAAGACAGGCGUGAAAUCCCCGGGCUUAACCUGGGAAUUGCGUCUGUGACUGUAUGGCUAGAGUGUGUCAGAGGGGGGUAGAAUUCCACGUGUAGCAGUGAAAUGCGUAGAUAUGUGGAGGAAUACCAAUGGCGAAGGCAGCCCCCUGGGAUAACACUGACGCUCAUGCACGAAAGCGUGGGGAGCAAACAGGAUUAGAUACCCUGGUAGUCCACGCCCUAAACGAUGCUGACUAGUUGUUCGGGAUUUUAUCCUGAGUAACGUAGCUAACGCGUGAAGUCAGCCGCCUGGGGAGUACGGUCGCAAGAUUA